RNAcentral lists this ribosomal RNA (253 nucleotides) under uncultured bacterium. Its description in RNAcentral is "partial 16S ribosomal RNA". It matches the Rfam family "Bacterial small subunit ribosomal RNA", at positions 524 to 776 of the family's 1533-position model. The record is from RNAcentral.
UACGUAGGGACCGAGCGUUGUCCGGAAUCAUUGGGCGUAAAGGGUGCGUAGGCGGUCUGUUAAGUUGGAUGUGAAAACUCUGGGCUCAACCCAGAGCCUGCAUCCAAAACUGGCAGGCUAGAGUUCUGGAGGGGGUAGCGGAAUUCCUGGUGUAGCGGUGAAAUGCGUAGAUAUCAGGAGGAACACCGGUGGCGAAGGCGGCUACCUGGACAGAAACUGACGCUGAGGCACGAAAGCUAGGGGAGCAAACAGG